This 671-nucleotide unclassified non-coding RNA is filed under the name uncultured Prochlorococcus sp. Its description in RNAcentral is "partial may contain 16S ribosomal RNA, 16S-23S ribosomal RNA intergenic spacer, and 23S ribosomal RNA". The stretch from base 1 to 96 matches the Rfam family "Bacterial small subunit ribosomal RNA", at positions 1438 to 1533 of the family's 1533-position model. Lineage: Bacteria; Bacillati; Cyanobacteriota; Cyanophyceae; Synechococcales; Prochlorococcaceae. The record is from RNAcentral.
CCCUUGUGGAGGAGGACGCCGAAGGUGGGGCUAAUGACUGGGGUGAAGUCGUAACAAGGUAGCCGUACCGGAAGGUGCGGCUGGAUCACCUCCUAACAGGGAGACAACAAAAUGUUUAAUAUUAUUAUUUUGUCACCUUAGGUCGAUCGGUAUCUCACGUUCUUAAUUUAUUAAGAAUUUCAUUUCCUAAGUUUUUCUAGGUCACACCCAUUAUUUUCCUGGGCCAUUAGCUCAGGUGGUUAGAGCGCACCCCUGAUAAGGGUGAGGUCCCUGGUUCAAGUCCAGGAUGGCCCAUAUCUCUAUGUUGGGGGUAUAGCUCAGUUGGUAGAGCGCCUGCUUUGCAAGCAGGAUGUCAGCGGUUCGAGUCCGCUUACCUCCACUGAUUACCACCUCUUCCAUAAUUUGUAGAAAGGAAAAAUUUUUGUGUUGUGAUCAUUAUUCUGAACGAAUCUAGCUUCCUAAUGAAAUCAUUAAGAUGCUGGACUCAUUGAAUUAAUUUCAUUGUUUUCAGAGAACCUUGACAACUGCAUAGAUUAUUUUUAAAGACAAUAAGCAUUUUUAAUAAUGCAGAUUUAUUAUUUGUGCAAAUGCAUUAAUAACAAUUCUAUUAAGCUGAUGCUUCAAUUAUGAAGUUAUUGGUCAAGCUACAAAGGGCUCACGGAGGAUACCUA